Molecule: non-coding RNA, 393 nt
Organism: Cucurbita pepo subsp. pepo (vegetable marrow)
Lineage: Eukaryota; Viridiplantae; Streptophyta; Magnoliopsida; Cucurbitales; Cucurbitaceae
Source: RefSeq, a predicted model, not a curated record
CUCAGACUUUCGCCUCUGAAGGAAGACCUGCAAGGAAGUACCUUGAUACAUCAUUUUCCAACCCAGAACAUGAAUAUCACAGAGUCAAGGAUCAUAAACAAGAAAUUUCCUCCAACACACAUGAAUAUGAAAAAAGUAUCGACGGUGCCGAUGAACUUGUCUACCAUAUUGACUAUAAUGGGCCGAAAACGCAUCCGAAUCCACCCGAUCAUCCAUAGCCAUAGGCUAUGUAUCAACUUUCAAGAUGACAUGAGCUACUUAUACAUGUACUGCACUACAGACACACAUUUUUCUGUAUAAUCUAUCAAAUGCUCUCUUUUAUUCAUGUAACAAUUAUAUAUACAAUCUAUCAAAUGUCAUGUGCUAUGAUCACAAUAAGCACUUAAAUGUGAA